Molecule: ribosomal RNA, 489 nt
Filed under: uncultured bacterium
Lineage: Bacteria
Description: partial 16S ribosomal RNA
Rfam family: Bacterial small subunit ribosomal RNA
Source: RNAcentral
ACUCAAAUGAAUUGACGGGGGAUCGCACAAGCGGUGGAGCAUGUGGUUUAAUUCGACGAUAAGCGGAGAACCUUACCAGGCCUUGACAUCUACGGAAUCUCUUGGAAACAAGAGAGUGCCUCGCAAGAGGAGCCGUAAGACAGGUGUUGCACGGCUGUCGUCAGCUCGUGGCGUGAGCUGUGCCCUUAAGUGGGUAAACGAGCGAAACCCUCACUACCAGUUAGAUAUGUCUGGUAGGACUGCCCUCAUUCGAGGGAGGAAGGUGGGGAUGACGUCAAGUCAGCGUGGCCCUUACGGCCUGGGCUACACACGUGCUACAAUGGCAUCGACAAAGGGUUGCUAAGUCGCAAGACGGAGCUAAUCCCAUCAAAAGAUGCCCCAGUUCGGAUUGGAGGCUGCAACUCGCCUCCAUGAAGCCGGAAUCGCUAGUAACUGUGGGUCAGCUAUACCACGGUGAAUACGUUCUCGAUCCUUGUACACACCGCCCGU